RNAcentral lists this ribosomal RNA (563 nucleotides) under uncultured archaeon. RNAcentral's name for it is "bacterial SSU rRNA". It matches the Rfam family "Archaeal small subunit ribosomal RNA", at positions 87 to 633 of the family's 1478-position model. The record is from RNAcentral.
GGCUCAGUAACACGUGGCUAACCCACCCUCGGGACGGGGACAACCCCGGGAAACUGGGAUUAAUACCCGAUAGGCGAAGACUCCUGGAACGGGUCUUCACCCAAAAGGUGUUAGGGUCAUGCUCCUUAACAUCGCCCGAGGACGGGGCCGCGGCCGAUCAGGUAGUUGGCGAGGCAACGGCUCACCAAGCCUAUAACCGGUACGGGCCGUGGGAGCGGGAGCCCGGAGAUGGGUACUGAGACAAGGGCCCAGGCCCUACGGGGCGCAGCAGUUGCGAAAACUUGUCAAUGCACGAAAGUGUGAACGGGCUACCCCGAGUGCCGUCCGCUGAGGAUGGCUUUUCUCUGCUGUAAGAAGGCGGAGGAAUAAGAAGAGGGCAAGUCUGGUGCCAGCCGCCGCGGUAAUACCAGCUCUCCGAGUGGUAGGGAUGAUUAUUGGGCCUAAAGCGUUCGUAGCCGGCCUUCCAAGUCUUUCGUUAAAUCCAGCGAUNCAAUCGUCGGACUGCGGGAGAUACUGUUAGGCUAGGGGGCGGGAGAAGCCGACGGUAUUUNCGGGGUAGGGGU